RNAcentral lists this ribosomal RNA (437 nucleotides) under uncultured bacterium. RNAcentral's name for it is "partial 16S ribosomal RNA". It matches the Rfam family "Bacterial small subunit ribosomal RNA", at positions 28 to 507 of the family's 1533-position model. The record is from RNAcentral.
GAUGAACGCUGGUGGCAUGCUUAACACAUGCAAGUCGGACGGGGAGUGGUGGUUCGAGGGGCGGACGGGUGAGUAACGGGUAAGAAACUGGUGUUGGGAGGGGAACAACAGCUGGAAAAGGCUGCGAAUACCGCGUAGGAUGAGGAGCAGAAGGAGUAAUCCGACGGAGGGGGGGCGUGCGUAUGAUUAGCUAGUUGGUGAGGCAAGAGCUUACCAAGGCGAGGGUGAGCAGGUGGUACGAGGGGAUCGUCCGCCACACUGGUAGUGAGACGCGGCGCAGACUCCUACGGGAGGCAGCAGGGGGUAAUGUACCGUAAUCGGAGACAGCCUGACGGAGCACUGCCUCGUGGAUGUCGACGUCCCACUUGUCGUGAACUUCCUUUCGCGGAGAAGAAGCAAUGACGGUACCUGGAGAAGAAGCACCGGCUAACUCUGUG